RNAcentral lists this unclassified non-coding RNA (328 nucleotides) under plant metagenome. Its description in RNAcentral is "partial contains 5.8S ribosomal RNA, internal transcribed spacer 2, and large subunit ribosomal RNA". The stretch from base 1 to 104 matches the Rfam family "5.8S ribosomal RNA", at positions 51 to 154 of the family's 154-position model. The record is from RNAcentral.
AAAUGCGAUAAGUAAUGUGAAUUGCAGAAUUCCGUGAAUCAUCGAAUCUUUGAACGCACUUUGCGCCCUCUGGUAUUCCGGGGGGCAUGCCUGUCCGAGCGUCAUUGCGAACCCCUCAAGCACGGCUUGUGUGAUGGGCCCUCCCGCGUCUUGGUCGUCAAGACGGGCCCGAAAUGCAGUGGCGGCUUCGCGGUUAUCCGAUCAGCCAGAGCGUAUGGGGACUUUCUCUCUGUCACACGCCCGCGGCGCGGACCGACGCCUGUCGACCUUCAUUCAUCGUUUUCUCGGUUGACCUCGGAUCAGGUAGGGAUACCCGCUGAACUUAAGC